Molecule: long non-coding RNA, 264 nt
Organism: Haliotis rubra (blacklip abalone)
Lineage: Eukaryota; Metazoa; Mollusca; Gastropoda; Lepetellida; Haliotidae
Exons: 3
Source: RefSeq, a predicted model, not a curated record
UCAGUUGUCAAUUCAUGUGAUAUACGACCCAUUGGCGCGGACGAUUGCCAGAGGGGAAGUAAACAAGCAGACAAUAACUUGUAGGCAUGUCACGUGACAGGCACAUGACAGGGAAUCUAUUUUUAGAAAAUCAGUGUUUCUAAACACUGAAUGUGUCUCACGGUGCGAAUCUAAACGGCGCAUUCGUUUUAGCAAAAACAACGUCAUUUCCAAAAUCACGAAUACUUAUGGCCAGGUACUGUAUGUUUCGUCCCUUUCGUUGAC